CAGAGGUCCCAAGCGUUGUUCGGAUUCACUGGGCGUAAAGGGUGCGUAGGUGGUCAGGUAAGUCGGAUGUGAAAUCUCCGAGCUCAACUCGGAAACUGCAUUGGGAAACUACCUGGCUCGAGGGUUGGAGGGGGGACUGGAAUGCUUGGUGUAGCAGUGAAAUGCGUAGAUAUCAAGCGGAACACCAGUGGCGAAGGCGAGUCCCUGGACAACGUCCUGACACUGAUGCACGAAAGCUAGGGGAGCAAACAGGAUUAGAUACCCUGGUAGUCCUAGCCGUAAACGGUGCACGUUUGCUGUAAAAGGAAUCGACCCCUUUUGUGGCGUAGCCAACGCGUUAAACGUGGCCGCCUGGGAAGUACGGUCGCAAGAUUA
Molecule: ribosomal RNA, 375 nt
Filed under: uncultured organism
Description: bacterial SSU rRNA
Rfam family: Bacterial small subunit ribosomal RNA
Source: RNAcentral